This 669-nucleotide ribosomal RNA is filed under the name Stenotrophomonas sp. EC-S106. RNAcentral describes it as "bacterial SSU rRNA". It matches the Rfam family "Bacterial small subunit ribosomal RNA", at positions 85 to 750 of the family's 1533-position model. Lineage: Bacteria; Pseudomonadati; Pseudomonadota; Gammaproteobacteria; Lysobacterales; Lysobacteraceae. The record is from RNAcentral.
UGGGUGGCGAGUGGCGGACGGGUGAGGAAUACAUCGGAAUCUACUCUGUCGUGGGGGAUAACGUAGGGAAACUUACGCUAAUACCGCAUACGACCUACGGGUGAAAGCAGGGGAUCUUCGGACCUUGCGCGAUUGAAUGAGCCGAUGUCGGAUUAGCUAGUUGGCGGGGUAAAGGCCCACCAAGGCGACGAUCCGUAGCUGGUCUGAGAGGAUGAUCAGCCACACUGGAACUGAGACACGGUCCAGACUCCUACGGGAGGCAGCAGUGGGGAAUAUUGGACAAUGGGCGCAAGCCUGAUCCAGCCAUACCGCGUGGGUGAAGAAGGCCUUCGGGUUGUAAAGCCCUUUUGUUGGGAAAGAAAUCCAGCCGGCUAAUACCCGGUUGGGAUGACGGUACCCAAAGAAUAAGCACCGGCUAACUUCGUGCCAGCAGCCGCGGUAAUACGAAGGGUGCAAGCGUUACUCGGAAUUACUGGGCGUAAAGCGUGCGUAGGUGGUCGUUUAAGUCCGUUGUGAAAGCCCUGGGCUCAACCUGGGAACUGCAGUGGAUACUGGGCGACUAGAGUGUGGUAGAGGGUAGCGGAAUUCCUGGUGUAGCAGUGAAAUGCGUAGAGAUCAGGAGGAACAUCCAUGGCGAAGGCAGCUACCUGGACCNACACUGACACUGAG